RNAcentral lists this ribosomal RNA (489 nucleotides) under uncultured bacterium. Its description in RNAcentral is "partial 16S ribosomal RNA". It matches the Rfam family "Bacterial small subunit ribosomal RNA", at positions 30 to 506 of the family's 1533-position model. The record is from RNAcentral.
AUUGAACGCUGGCGGCAGGCCUAACACAUGCAAGUCGAACGGUAACAGGAAACAGCUUGCUGUUUCGCUGACGAGUGGCGGACGGGUGAGUAAUGUCUGGGAAACUGCCUGAUGGAGGGGGAUAACUACUGGAAACGGUAGCUAAUACCGCAUAACGUCGCAAGACCAAAGAGGGGGACCCUCGGGCCUCUUGCCAUCGGAUGUGCCCAGAUGGGAUUAGCUUGUUGGUGGGGUAACGGCUCACCAAGGCGACGAUCCCUAGCUGGUCUGAGAGGAUGACCAGCCACACUGGAACUGAGACACGGUCCAGACUCCUACGGGAGGCAGCAGUGGGGAAUAUUGCACAAUGGGCGCAAGCCUGAUGCAGCCAUGCCGCGUGUAUGAAGAAGGCCUUCGGGUUGUAAAGUACUUUCAGCGGGGAGGAAGGGAGUAAAGUUAAUACCUUUGCUCAUUGACGUUACCCGCAGAAGGAGCACCGGCUAACUCCGU